RNAcentral lists this ribosomal RNA (559 nucleotides) under Trigonopterus sebelas. RNAcentral describes it as "partial 16S ribosomal RNA". The record is from RNAcentral. Lineage: Eukaryota; Metazoa; Arthropoda; Insecta; Coleoptera; Curculionidae.
AACCGACCUGGCUCACACCGGUUUAAACUCAGAUCAUGUAAAAUUUUAAAGGUCGAACAGACCUAAUAUAUUAGCUUCUACACCAACAAUAAAUUUUAAUCCAACAUCGAGGUCGCAAUCUUUCUUUUCGAUAAGAACUCUAAAGAAAAUUACGCUGUUAUCCCUAAGGUAAUUUAAUCUUAUAAUCUAAACCAAGGAUCAAAUAAAUACUCAUAAGUAAAUAAAUUAAAAAAAAGUUAAUCUAAUUUUUCCAUCACCCCAACAAAACAAGUCCCGCCUAAUUAAAAAUUUCAAUUCCUAAUAUCUGAACCAUGCAAUUCCUGUAAAACUCUAUAGGGUCUUCUCGUCUUCCAUUUAAAUUUAAGCUUUCUCACUUAAAAAUAAAAUUCUAAUAAAUUUUUAUAGAGACAGCAGCUUUCUCAUAAAACCUUUCAUUCCAGCUUUCAAUUAAAAAACUAAUGAUUAUGCUACCUUUGCACGGUCAAUAUACCGCGGCCAUUUAAUUUUCAGUGGGCAGGUGAGACUUGAAAUAAACAUCAACAAGCCAUGUUUUUAAUAA